RNAcentral lists this ribosomal RNA (531 nucleotides) under uncultured bacterium. Its description in RNAcentral is "partial 16S ribosomal RNA". It matches the Rfam family "Bacterial small subunit ribosomal RNA", at positions 355 to 900 of the family's 1533-position model. The record is from RNAcentral.
UGGGGAAUAUUGCACAAUGGGCGAAAGCCUGAUGCAGCAACGCCGCGUGAGUGAUGAAGGUCUUCGGAUUGUAAAGCUCUGUCUUUUGGGACGAUAAUGACGGUACCAAAGGAGGAAGCCACGGCUAACUACGUGCCAGCAGCCGCGGUAAUACGUAGGUGGCGAGCGUUGUCCGGAUUUACUGGGCGUAAAGGGUGCGUAGGCGGAUGUUUAAGUGAGAUGUGAAAUACCCGGGCUUAACUUGGGUGCUGCAUUUCAAACUGGAUAUCUAAAGUGCAGGAGAGGAGAAUGGAAUUCCUAGUGUAGCGGUGAAAUGCGUAGAGAUUAGGAAGAACACCAGUGGCGAAGGCGAUUCUCUGGACUGUAACUGACGCUGAGGCACGAAAGCGUGGGUAGCAAACAGGAUUAGAUACCCUGGUAGUCCACGCCGUAAAACGAUGAGUACUAGGUGUAGGAGGUAUCGACCCCUUCUGUGCCGCAGUAAACACAUUAAGUACUCCGCCUGGGAAGUACGAUCGCAAGAUUAAAAAC